Molecule: ribosomal RNA, 318 nt
Filed under: uncultured Streptococcus sp.
Lineage: Bacteria; Bacillati; Bacillota; Bacilli; Lactobacillales; Streptococcaceae
Description: bacterial SSU rRNA
Rfam family: Bacterial small subunit ribosomal RNA
Source: RNAcentral
UCGUGAGAUGUUGGUUAAGUCCCGCAACCGAGCCGCAACCCCUAUUGUUAGUUGCCAUCAUUCAGUUGGGCACUCUAGCGAGACUGCCGGUAAUAAACCGGAGGAAGGUGGGGAUGACGUCAAAUCAUCAUGCCCCUUAUGACCUGGGCUACACACGUGCUACAAUGGUUGGUACAACGAGUUGCGAGUCGGUGACGGCGAGCUAAUCUCUUUAAAGCCAAUCUCAGUUCGGAUUGUAGGCUGCAACUCGCCUACAUGAAGUCGGAAUCGCUAGUAAUCGCGGAUCAGCACGCCGCGGUGAAUACGUUCCCGGGCCUU